Long non-coding RNA from Coffea eugenioides, 344 nucleotides. RefSeq lists it as uncharacterized. NCBI's taxonomy places the organism in Eukaryota, Viridiplantae, Streptophyta, Magnoliopsida, Gentianales, Rubiaceae. The transcript has 4 exons. The record is from RefSeq and is a predicted model, not a curated record.
UUUUGACUUUUUCCUGUCAAAAUGGCAGCUUGAUGUUGAUAUUGCUACUCAUAUACAUGUCAAGGAUGAUGGACCUGCAAGGAGCUUACUUUAUAUUGAAACAGCUGAUCGGCCUGGGCUGCUCUUAGAGAUGAUCAAAAUUAUGGCUGACAUCAAUGUUAAUGUGGAAUCUGCUGAAAUUGAAACAGAAGGUCUAGUAGCAAAGGACAAGUUUCAUGUCAGUUACAGAGGGCAAGCAUUGAACAAUUCCUUGUCUCAGGUGCUAACUAAUUGCCUGCGUUACUACCUCCGGAGGCCAGAAACUGAUGAAGAUAGUUACUAAAUGGUAUCUUCACUGUACAAAC